Molecule: long non-coding RNA, 8705 nt
Filed under: Nicotiana benthamiana
Lineage: Eukaryota; Viridiplantae; Streptophyta; Magnoliopsida; Solanales; Solanaceae
Description: long non-coding RNA (NBEN_LNC013626)
Source: RNAcentral
CGGGAAAAUAUAUAAUGAUAAUCAUAUGGAGAAAAACAAAAAAUGAAGAGCAGCCAGGUCUUGCGAACGUCAUGCAGCUACCUCAACGACUCUGAAUCUCUAGAGACUGCGAGAAUCAACUAAGCGUCUGGUGUACCUGAAUCUGCAUACAAGGUGCAGGGAGUAAGGGUGAGUACCACCGACACAGUGAAUAAUAAGUAUAGAAAAUUACUGAAAGCAGGAAAUCAACAAAGUACCACAACGCAAAGCUAUAACUAACAAUCCUAUUACUUCGCUACAUGCUAACAACAUAACAGUAUCACAAUAACAACCAAGUAUCAGAUAAAGAUGCAAUGCAAUGCACAUGAAUUCACUGCGGAACGUGCAGCCUGAUCCAUUUAACGUCGACUACGCUCAUUGGGGGUGUGUAUAGACUCUGGAGGGGCUCCUUCAUCCCAAUCGCAAUAUCAAUUUAUAUAUCCGCAGCGGAUCGUGCAGCCCAACUCAAGCUCAGUCCACAAUAUGCAUAUGAGUCACAUAAACAGAUUCAAUUUAAAUUCUCGUUUUUCCAAUUAUUACGAUGAAUAUAAUUUAAUUAAUCAAUUUCAGAAAUAAGGUGACUUAGAAUUCCAUUUCGGUGAUUAAACAGAGGACUGAGAUCCAUUAUUAUGAAAUCAUGUUAUCACACAAAUAUUUACCCUAGACGGGUACUACAGAUCGGCUCAAGGCCCCAAACAUGGCAUUAAGCCCAAUUAUCAAAAACACAAUGUGCGUAUCAGACGCCAAUAAUUUAUUCAGCUCACGGGAUGGACCAAGUCACAAUCCCCAAUCAUUUACAACCCCGCACCUCCCAUGGGGUGCGAGUCACGCCCUAACAUAGCGUCACGAUGUGAUAAUCUAGGGUUUCAAACCCUCAGGCCAUCAUCUAUACUAACUACUCACCUCUAACUGGUCGUAGCCUGGUCUGCAAUUCCCUUUUCCUUCAAAUCUUCUCCUACGAGCGUCGAAUCUAUUUAAAAGCACAACGAAUAGGUUAUUCCAGGCUACUCAAACAUAACCCAAUUGAAAUUAUUCGAAAAACAUUAAAAAUCGCGAAGUUGGUAAAACCUGAGCCUCGGGCCCACUUCUCAAUAAAUUCUGAAAAUUACAUCUUCGGAUUCCUUGUUUUGUCACGAGUUUGUACAUAUAAAGUUCACCAAAAACAGGGGCCGUUUGACCCUUCAAAUCCCCGAAAUUUGUUUUCUAAAAACUACGCCCUAGUUCUUCACAAUUUCUACACAAUUUCAUGGAAUUUGAUUAUUUCUAAAAAUGACGUUUUUAAGCCCAAAGACUUACCUCUAAUCGAUACCCGCUGAAAACCCACUUCAAAUCGCUCAAAAACCUCUCUUGGCGGAGUAAAAAUGGUGGAAAUAUCAUGAGGGUCACGUAUGAAAUUUAGCCCUUAAACGGAUCUGCCCAGACGUCUCCUUCUAUGCGAUCGCGACCCAAGGAAUGGUUGAAAUAUUAUGAGGGUUACAUCUGAUAUUUAGCCCUUAAAUAGUUCUACCCAGACGUCUCCUUCUGUGCGAUCGCGACACAAGGUACGCGAUCGCGGAGAACAAAUUCCGGACCCUUAAGGUUCCUCUUACGCGAUCAUAGGUCAGAGCACGUGAUCGCAGAAUUUCGACCAGCAACCCUACGCGAUCGCACUAACCCACCACUCUAGCCUACGCGAUCGCAGACCAAGAUACGCGAUCGCCGAGACCAAAUUAGCACCCCCUCUGAACCUUCUAUGCGAUCGCAGUCCCAGGCUCGCGAUCGUAGAGGGUAUUUUCCACUCUGCAAUUUUUGCUGCACUUUUUCAUUCCGAAAAUUCCCGUUAGCCAUCUGAAAUCACCCCAACGCCCUCGGGGCCUCAACCAAAAGCACAGGCAUAUUCUACAUCAUACAAAGUUGCUCGUAACACAAAAACAUUAUCAUAAAUAUCAAAAUCAUCAAAUUACCACAGAUUCAAGGCUUAGUUAAACUAAUAACUUGCAUUUUCUCCAAAACCCGAUCUAAGCACCUCCAAAUGAUCUGAAAAUUUUCAAACAUAUCAAAAAUAAGCUAACAGAGUUGCUGCAACUGUCGAAAUUUCAUUCCGACUCCCGGAUAAAAAUAUCACCUAUCAACCGGACUUCGCCAAAUUUCUAACUUAGCCAAUUCAAGCCUAGUUCUACACCGGACCUCCAAAUUCAGUUCUGCUUUCGCUCUUAAAUCACAAAUCACCGUCCGAAACUAGUCGAACCAUCGAAAAUCCGUUCUGAUCCCUCUAACUCAUAAGUCAAUGUUUGGUUGACUUUUUUCCAAAAUAAAUUUCUCUUAAAGAGACUAAUUUUCUCAUUUCUAUCCAAACUCCAUCCGAAUUAUUCAAAACUCUCCAAAUACAUAUAUUGAAACCAAUAACAACAUAAAAGGGAAAAUGGGGCAGAAAUACACGGGACGACGGGUCAGGUCGUUACACAAUAGUUAUAUGAAUGCAUAUUUUAUCCAGAAUAAAAUAAUAUCAACAUCAAACGAUUUGAUUAUUGCACAAGGCACAUCUAUUAUGGUUUGAACUCUUUAAAUAUUAUAUUAAAAUAUUUCGUAAGUAUAUUUUAGACACAAUAAACCACGGCUCUGAUACCACUGAAGGAUUGUGUAUAGGCGUUCGUAACACGCAACGGAAGACAAUAACAAUCCUAGAAAGAUCUUUUAGUGUUUAAACUUUAUUUACAUAUCGAAUAUCAAAUCAGAGACGUACCUGGUGAAGAGAGUCUUGUUUCAAAAUUUUUCGAUAGUGCGAAGCCUCUAUGCGUAUCCACACCGAGACCGAUCCUUGCUAUCAACUUUUUGAUCAACGAAACCCGUGAACAAAUUGAACGAAAUAUAUUAUGUUGAAAUUUUUCUAAAAAAUCUCAAUUCAAAUUUAAAGAACAAGAAACACUUUUCUUGUAGUUGUAUUUUCUCUCUUGACUUUGUAUUGCACUCUCACUUUCACAAAGUGGGUUUUCUUCUCGAGAAUAAUUUUUCAUAAACUCUCUCAAGUGUUAUGUUUUACAAAGAAUACCUACAACACUUUUCCAUGACCCCUUUUAUAACAUCACCAAAACCUAUUUCCUAUUGGUCAAGGUGGUGAAUUACUUUGGGUACAAGUCUAGUUCCAAAAAUAGACCUUGUAAAGUUUUUCAUUUGAAAAAAUAAAUCCCAUUUCAGAUGGGAUUAUAUGUUCACGUUGGCAACUAGUCCUUUGAUGGACUUUAUACAUCAAAAUCCAAUUCUAAAUCUGAUUUGAUUCAUAUGUCUUCAUCAAUGUACUUUAUAUUAAUAAAUAUUAAUUUUAUAUAUAUAUAUAUAUAUAUAUAUAUAUCACAUAUAUAUUUUGACCAAGAGAUAUAAUUUAAUUUUCUAUUAUAAAUAGAAAACUUCAAUUCGUUCACAAUAUCAAUUAUAAUCACUUUGCAAACAAAAAGUAUAAUAAUAUUUCAUUUGGAUUAAUAACUAAAUUUAUUUGACUAAUUAAAUUCCUUAAUUUAAUUAUCAAAUAGUAAGUUAAUUAAUCCUUUAGCAAAGAUCAGAACACUCGUUAGUGUGCGACCCCAUAGGUUCAAUACUAAACCGGUAGUAAAUUCGUCACAUCAAUAUACUAAUCAAGGGUGGCGUCUAACACUCCUUAAUGACCGGAUAUCAUGAAGUAUACAAUUUACUCUCAAGAACCAGUAGAAGAAUAAUAUAAUAAUUUCUUCUGUCUUUAUAGCUCUGGAUCACCCUAGGAUAUGGUUCGACUGUCAAAUCCUAAUAGGUUAACAACUAUAUGUUCAUGUCAAAUAUAAUCGACCACUGAAUGACCUAAGAAACUCAUUUCUUCUUUCAUUCAAUUGCCCUAGUCAAGGUCUUAGUUUGGUCGUUUAUAAUUCAUGACAACAUGAAGUUUAAACUCAUUAUCAAGAGUUGAUGGAUUCCAUCUUGAUCGAUCACUAAUUUUACAAGCAUUUAAUCGUACCCAAUAUCCUUUCAACUAUCGCCCUAGCGCCAUAUGUGUCUAGUAUCAAAGCACAAUAAAUCACUUGUCAAUUACUAUGACGAUCUCAAGUCAAAGGAAACUGUUAUAUCACAUUCUUCAAGAAAAUAUCCUAUUGACAGUUAUGGUAAUUCUAACCAUUAGAAAUUAUUCAAUGAGUCGGUUCAAUGAUCAUAUCUAUAUAUGCAUCAUCUAUCUAUGUUAUUUAGUUAAUGAGAUCAACUAUCUUUAUCCCAUACAGACGAUCACAUAAAUAUUGAUAUAACUGGAUUACUAAUGUCCAAGUUAUUAAUCCUACGAUCAAGAACAAAUUUAGAUUAAAUUGUAAGAGACUUUUCUCUCAUUAUCAUGAUCUAUAUCACGAUGACAAAUCUCAAAAUUUAUCAAGGACCUUAUCAAAUUAAUCAAACAAUUAAUAAUAAUGAUAAAAGAAUAUCAAAUUCCAUAUAUUUUAUAUCAAAUGACGUUCAUGAAAAUAUGUUCAAAUCAUCAAAUAUGAUAUUGGAUCUAGGGCAUAUCUAUUAUAUCCCUAACAUGAAUCUUGUAGCAGAUUUUGGGCAACUGUCUUAAUCUUGCUCCCUUUUGUUUUGUACUGUACAAAUGUUUGCUUGGUAAUUAUAUUUUUUAGUUACCACAAACAAAAAAGGGGAUUAUUUAUUAGAAAAGCCAAAUCUGAAAAUUGCCCUGCUCCCCAGCAGAACUCCAUAUCCUCUAUCCUUAAUCUGAAAAUCAAUACUACUUUUGGAAAGUACCUUGGUUUUCCCAUAUAAACGACAAAACCUAAGCCAAGGGAUUACAACUUCAUUAUUGAUAAUCUUAACAGGAGACUCAAUAGCUAGAAAACCCAAUUCCUAUCCUUAGUAGGACGGGCUAUUCUCAUCCAAACAACUCUCAACUCCCUCCCAAACCACAUCAUGCAAUAUACUAUGCUACCAAGAAAACCCCCAUAAUCACAUUGACAAAAUCCAAAGGGGUUUCCUUUGGGGGAGUACUCUAAACUCAAGGAAAAUCCACUAUAUCAAAUGGGAUACUAUUACCUUGCCUAAAAAAUUGGGAGGACUAGGAAUACAGGAAUCAAUUGAUAAGAAUAAAGUUGCCCUUACAAGCCUUUCAUGACAUCUCCUUACUCAUCCCCACACCACCUGGGCAACUUAACUGCAAUCAAAAUACAAAGUCAGAUACACCAAUGCAUCCUACUCCUUCAUCUGGAAAAACAUCCUCCUAGGAUAGAAAAUAUGUACGAAUGCUAUUGCAUGGCAGUUGAGGAUGGCUCCAACGUUAGUUUUUGGCAUGCAAAUUGGUUGCCAUGAAAUCAACCCCUAAGAAACAUUCUCCGCGGGCCAUUAGCUCCACCGGAUUCAAACCUCAUGAUCUCCCACACAAUCUAAAAUGGGACAUGGAAUCUCUCAGACCUUUCUAUUGAGUUGCCCCCCAAAAUCCAAACACAACUCUCAUCUGUACUCUACAAUGGGACUCGUAGUCAAAUGGAUAUACCCUAUUGGAGCCUCACCACAUAUGACAUUUUCACAACUAAGUCAGUAUACCCUUUGAUUACCACGUCUAUGGAUCACAAUCAUGGAAACGACUUCCAAUGGAUUUGGAAACUAAAAACUUGGAACAAAUUAAAGUACUUCCUCUGGCAAUGCUACCACGACAGAUGUCACAGCUCCUUUUUCCACUAUAAAACCCGGCAAGGGGGAGUAAAGGAGUUUUUCCACUUAAAGGACAAUCGGAACGGGAUUUGUUAUUAAGAUCAUUUAGAGUUGCCACUUGGGAGAUUAAUGGUGUCCCAAUUCACCCGGUUUAAUCUCGAACAGAGGAAAGUUUGACUUUGUUCACAGUCCGCGAACCAGAAAUCUGAAUAAGGAAUUCUAUUAACUCAGGAGAAGGUGUUAGGCAUUCCCGGGUUUCGUGGUUCAAGCAUGGUCGCUUAACUAUUGCAUUUGGUUUUAUCUGAUUUUAAUACAUGCUAGCUUAUGUGUUUUUUUUAUAAACCUCUUUUAUCAUUAUUUAUUUUAAAAUACUUGCGACGUCGUGAAAACACGUCUCUGACCACGUCACAACCAGUGUACACGUGAUCGUCGACACGUUUCGACUUCGUCAAGAUUUGGAUUUGGGUGACAUCAAUGCGCACCCGAGUUUACGAAGAGUAAUUUAAUUAAAUCGCACUUAAAGGUUCUAACAUAAUACUGUUUGGGAAAGUCCGUUGAAAUUCGGUAAACGACCCUUUCAAAUUCUAAUCAUUAUUAAUAACCAAUUACUGAGGGCCCCACAUUUAUUUUGUUCGUUGAGGCUCGUCUCUAUUUUUGAACUGAUUUUGCGAUCAUAAUUUAUUUUAUAAAAAUUACGACGCCGUGAAAACACAUUUUUAACCAUGUAGCCAUCAAGGCACCCAUGGUUAUUAACACAUUUCGAUUUUGUCGAGAUUUGAAUUUGGGUUACAUCAAUGCACAACCGAGUUUAAGAGGGUCUUAAUUAAAUGCGUCUAAAGAGUCUAACGUAUUAUUAUUUUUGGGAAGGCUGUGAAAUUUUUUAAACGGCCCUCCCAUAUUUUAAAUCAAUUCUUAUAAAAAAUUAUCGAGGGCCCCACACUUGUUUUGUUUGGCGAGGCUCGUCUCAUCAGUUCAAUAAAAGGCCAACCUAAAAGUGACUAAAAAUUCUAAUCUCUUUGUCUCUAAUGAAAUCCAAGUCCAUAUAAAUAGACUGGCGACUGGUUUAUUAUUAAAAGCUAUAAAUGGGCCUCUAUAUCGUCUCUUUGGAAAGGAAACAAUUUGGGCCCAAAGCAUGCAGAAGGAAAACCCGGGCAGGCGCCAGUGCCUCCACUCGACAUCGAACCCCCACAAAGGAGAUCUGGAUAUGCAAUUACGGAAAUAUUAGAUGUGGGUGUGCCAUAUUGAGAUCAUAUAACUGAUGACAAGCCAUAAUCCUAAAUUAAUUGGAAAUUUGAUAGUACUGAACCCAUGAACAAUUUAUUAAUCAAUACAAUGACUAACUUCUGAUUUUAAAAACAUACAGCAAAAUAAGAAAUAAAAUUACGGAAUGGCUAAAAGUUCCAAUAGACCAAUUAAUAGUGCAUAUUUUGUUCAACUAACCAUUGGUGUACAAUUAUUAGCUUCCUUUCGAAAUCAAAUCCAAUUUUUUCUGACUCUCCUUUAAAAACAGCGGAAAUAAAUGCUAAACCAGGCUGAUGAGAAACUAGUGCUAGAUGAUCAACAAUAUCAACACUAGUUAAACCAAAUACAUGGAGAUCUACUAGAACUUUGCAUUACAGUAUCAACACUAGUUAAACCAAACGAAAUUGCUACACAUAUGAAAUACAUCUAAUUAAUCUAACAUUAUACUACUUAACAAUACAGUCCAGAAUUAUUACAAAAUUCGAGAACAAUAAAUAAUCAAAUAUGGCAGGGCCAUUAAAACACAAAGCCACAGUGGGAAGUUAUCCUUAAUUUCAUUUCAUAUCUCAAUAGAUGAAGCUACAUCAAUGGAGUUUGGAGAUGUGUACCAGGAUGUAGAAAUACAAGAAGAAUAAGAAGAAGAUCAGCUAUAAUAAUAUAUUCCAGCAGAAUAAUUUGCAAACAGCAGGUAACACAGCAUGUUCAGUCAAGAAAUGAGUUCAACAGUCGAAGGAUAAGUUGAAGGCCAAGUAAAAUCCACUGCUAAACCCAAAAUAGCACCAAAUAGCCUACAACAAACUGACUGAAUCCUCAAAAAUUGCUCGGAAUCAAAUAAAAACUACCCUGAACCUUCAGUUACUAGUAAUCGAGCAAGAAAUGCUACUCAACUAGGCGAAACUAGAAUUUGGCUAAGAGAAGCAAUGCAAUAGUACUUUUUUGGUUUUUGAAGAGUUUUUGUUUCUUUUUUUUGUUUUCUUCUAAGGAACUAAAAUCUAGCCAGAAUUUAGCUAAAAUAGAAAGCUGGAUCAGAUCUAAGAAAAACUUUAGAAUGGAGAAUUUAGGAGAUAAUAAUGACUGAAAAGAGAAGACCCCUAGCAAGGCUGUUUAUAUGCCCUUUUAUAGGAAUGGCAUUUAUGGCAUCUAUAUGAGCAUCAAAAUUGCACCUAGAACCUUUUGCAAUUUUCAAAUUUGCUACUUAGUCCCUAAAAUUCUGACUUGCUUGCCAAGCUUAAUGCAUACAAAUCUCAAAUUUCACUGCAACUCCCUACUAGAAGCUUCCCCAUUAUGUUGUUAAAAGAUUCCUUAAGCCAAUUCCUUAAGCAGAAGAAAGGAAUGAAAAUAAUGGAACAAGAAACGGACAAGGAAAAAUAAAAUGAAAGAACACUUACCUAAUUAACUUGAAGCUGGAGCCCCCGAUUUUAAACAAAACUAAUGCUAAUCGCUUGUUCUUGACAAAUAACAAGCGAACAACAUUAAUUUUUCAUUAAAUCACUCUUCGAAACUCAACACUCGAAGGCCUAGGUCUUCCAUGCCACAAAUUUGAAGGUAAGGCAAUUUGGGUUUCAGGUCUUCAUCUUUAGAUUCCAGAUUCGAAAAGAUAUAGAGGGAUUUGAGGGAAGUGGAUUUUUGUUAUGGAAAGAAAAAGGGUUGGGGGUUAUAUGGUGUAAUUUUGAGGCGGAAUAAAGCUGGCGCCGCAACCGGAGGAGUUGACGAUAUGUGGGUGGCGUCGCUAGGGUUACGCAGAUAGUAGGCUGUUUAGGAGAGACGAGAGAAGGGGGCGAGUUUGGACCGUUAUAUGAUAAGGUAGGAUCAGU